RNAcentral lists this transfer RNA (95 nucleotides) under Sphingomonas sp. 28-63-12. RNAcentral describes it as "tRNA-Ser". The record is from RNAcentral. Lineage: Bacteria; Pseudomonadati; Pseudomonadota; Alphaproteobacteria; Sphingomonadales; Sphingomonadaceae.
GGAGACGUGGGUGAGUGGCUGAAACCAGCGGUUUGCUAAACCGCCGUACCGGGUUUACUGGUACCGAGGGUUCCCAUACCCAUCCACGUCCACCA